This is a non-coding RNA of Acanthosepion pharaonis, 114 nucleotides long. The record is from the annotation of a GenBank genome assembly. Lineage: Eukaryota; Metazoa; Mollusca; Cephalopoda; Sepiida; Sepiidae.
UUACGACCAUAUAGCGUCGAAAAACCGGUUCCCGUACAAUCAGCGAAGUUAAGCAACGUUGAGCCUCGUCAGUACCUUGAUGGUUGACUGCUUGGGAAUGCCAGGUAAUGUAAG